This 274-nucleotide ribosomal RNA is filed under the name uncultured bacterium. RNAcentral describes it as "partial 16S ribosomal RNA". It matches the Rfam family "Bacterial small subunit ribosomal RNA", at positions 523 to 796 of the family's 1533-position model. The record is from RNAcentral.
AUACGGAGGGUACGAACGUUAAUCGGAAUUACUGGGCGUAAAGCGCGCGUAGGUGGUUCGGUAAGUGGGAUGUGAAAGCCCCGGGCUCAACCCGGGAACUGCAUUCCAAACUGCCGGGCUAGAGUAUGGUAGAGGGAGGUAGAAUUUCCUGUGUAGCGGUGAAAUGCGUAGAUAUAGGAAGGAAUACCGGUGGCGAAGGCGGCCUCCUGGACCAAUACUGACACUGAGGUGCGAAAGCGUGGGGAGCAAACAGGAUUAGAUACCCCAGUAGUCC